AUGUGGGAGUCUUCAGGAAGCCAGCAGCCACUUGAAGCUACAGGGACAACCACACAAUGAGAUAGUUCCCCAGAGAUGUGGUCUGAAGAGAGGCAGGUUAUCCACCGUCAGCCCUUAUCUCUCAUGGAUAGUUUCCUCUCUCGGUUAAACUACUGAGGCUGUGGCUGACCCGGCUGUCUUUUUAGACCACUUCAUCUGAGGUCAGGCAACCGUCACUGUGUAAUCAAUGAUAGCCACCGCUCUGAAUUAGAUCGUGGAUGUCCCGGUGCUCACCAGCCUAUCAGUCCCUGUAACGAAGCCUGGAAGUGUCCGUGGCUGAAGGGCCCCUCGCCGGCUCCUGUUAGAUCCAGCAGCUGGUUGUUGGACAUGUGCGAAGCGCCCAUGUUGGCCGCAGGAGACACGCUGUGAUAACCGCAGCCGUACACGCUGCUGUUGGCAAACACUGGGUUAUAAUGUCCCACGGUCACAUUGUAGGGGGACGGGUGCGAGCCGGCGCCGCAG
Pleuronectes platessa (European plaice) is the source of this 501-nucleotide long non-coding RNA. RefSeq lists it as uncharacterized. The record is from RefSeq and is a predicted model, not a curated record. NCBI's taxonomy places the organism in Eukaryota, Metazoa, Chordata, Actinopteri, Pleuronectiformes, Pleuronectidae. The transcript has 3 exons.